GUAGCCUAUGGUUGAUGUAGUGGUUAGGAGUUCGGAGGCUCGACCGUUAAUAAGAAAGGUCAAGAAUCGUAAGGGUAAAAGAAGGAUGAGAAUAGCAAAGCUCAUAGGUAGAGAAAGACUUGUGCACGCCGAGUGUAAACAAAGAAAGGUGCGCAUGCGAAGAACACAUGGAGGUCUGGAAAAUAAGAAGCGCAUGAGUGAGGAUAUGUGAUAUGUGAGAGUUGCGUGAGCAAAGCAAAGUAGAACUCAUGCCAAAGUCAUGGUCUCGUCGCAUGAAGGAGAUCCAUAAGAAAGAAAGAAAGACAAAUGAUAGAAAAAAAGAAAAGUAAAACAGAGAUAGGAAAUAGGAAAUAGGAGAAAAAAGAAAAGACAAAGAGAAAUUGGGUUGAUUAGUAGAAAUGAAAUUGUUCAAUC
This is a non-coding RNA of Schizosaccharomyces pombe (fission yeast), 414 nucleotides long. NCBI's taxonomy places the organism in Eukaryota, Fungi, Ascomycota, Schizosaccharomycetes, Schizosaccharomycetales, Schizosaccharomycetaceae. The record is from the annotation of a GenBank genome assembly.